CGGGGUGCAGCAGGCGCGAAAACUUUACAAUGCCGGCAACGGCGAUAAGGGAACCUCGAGUGCCAGGUUACAAAUCUGGCUGUCGUGAUGCCUAAAAAGCAUUGCAUAGCAAGGGCCGGGCAAGACCGGUGCCAGCCGCCGCGGUAACACCGGCGGCUCGAGUGGUAACCGUUAUUAUUGGGUCUAAAGGGUCUGUAGCCGGCCGGGUAAGUCUCUUGGGAAAUCUGGCAGCUUAACUGUCAGGCUUUCAGGAGAUACUGCCUGGCUCGAGGCCGGGAGAGGUGAGAGGUACUUCAGGGGUAGGGGUGAAAUCUUGUAAUCCUUGAAGGACCACCAGUGGCGAAGGCGUCUCACCAGAACGGACCUGACGGCAAGGGACGAAAGCUAGGGGCACGAACCGGAUUAGAUACCCGGGUAGUCCUAGCCGUAAACGAUACUCGCUAGGUGUCGGCCACGGUGCGACCGUGGUCGGUGCCGUAGGGAAGCCGUGAAGCGAGCCACCUGGGAAGUACGGCCGCAAGGCUGAAACUUAAAGGAAUUGGCGGGGGAGCACAAGG
This 557-nucleotide ribosomal RNA is filed under the name uncultured archaeon. RNAcentral's name for it is "bacterial SSU rRNA". It matches the Rfam family "Archaeal small subunit ribosomal RNA", at positions 326 to 883 of the family's 1478-position model. The record is from RNAcentral.